GAUGUCAUUUAGCAAAGCCUUUGGAUUCACAAAAUGCAGAAAAAGCUAAAUUUAAAGCGAUCUCAGCUGCAAGGAGGUGUUGAAUAAUGUGCUAAUGUGCACAGUAUUAAUCUGAAGUCUUCAGGUGUUUCUUGGGGAAGAAGAGGGUGUGGAAAGUGAUAGGGGGGAGAGCACACUUGUUUGAGAUGGAUCACUUGGAAUACCCCCAUAAGGUAUAUAAUCACAAAUGCCUGCAAAUUAAGAUAAACCAGACAUCUCUCAGACAAUGCUAAUUCCCCUUCGGUGCAGAGUAGAUUAUUUCAAACCUGGCAAGAUGACGGAUAAGCACCAAACAGCAGAUUUAUAACUUUGGCAGCCCAUGCAAGCCCUGCUACAGACCUACCAUUGACUGACACGCGGGUUGCAAUCCAGAAAAUCCAACGUGAAGUCAACCAAACCGCUCUUUUUUUCUCUCCCCUUCCAUUGCUAAAGUUGAGGGUUACACAGCGGCAGGCUAAUUGCAGGUGUCGUUAGAGAGAGUGAUGUAGAGCAGGCCACCCAGCCUGCGCAGCUGGAAAUGUCCUUCCUGGGGGGGCGGAGCCAUAGUCAAUCAUGUGUGACCCUGUGGAAUUCCGCUCAGCAGUCGGAACUGGCACCAGCUUUACAGGAACCCCCCCUUCCCUGCUGCUGAAUGAGAUUCUCCCGGGCAUCCUGUACAUCGUUAAAAUAGCCGGCUGACUCUGUUCACGGCUUUCAAAAGGUGACUGGUUCUUUAUUCGGUGUUGGCAGACUCUGGGAUUUUAACCCCUAAAAUGAUUCAAUUGCUUCCCAUAUUCCUAUAUCAUUUUUAUAGAUCCCCCUCUCCAUGCCCCAUUUAAAAAUUCUCAGUCAUUGACUCAUGUACACUCUUAUUCCUUAAUA
This is a long non-coding RNA of Anguilla rostrata (American eel), 900 nucleotides long. RefSeq lists it as uncharacterized. Lineage: Eukaryota; Metazoa; Chordata; Actinopteri; Anguilliformes; Anguillidae. The transcript is spliced from 3 exons. The record is from RefSeq and is a predicted model, not a curated record.